RNAcentral lists this ribosomal RNA (377 nucleotides) under uncultured bacterium. RNAcentral's name for it is "bacterial SSU rRNA". It matches the Rfam family "Bacterial small subunit ribosomal RNA", at positions 523 to 898 of the family's 1533-position model. The record is from RNAcentral.
AUACAGAGACUGCAAGCGUUAUUCGGAUUCACUGGGCGUAAAGGGUGCGCAGGCGGCCGAGUGUGUUAGACGUGAAAUCCCGUCGCUCAACGACGGAACUGCAUCUAAAACUACUUGGCUAGAGUACUGGAGAGGGUAGCGGAAUUCACGGUGUAGCAGUGAAAUGCGUAGAUAUCGUGAGGAACACCAAUGGCGAAGGCAGCUACCUGGACAGUUACUGACGCUCAGGCACGAAAGCGUGGGGAGCAAAAGGGAUUAGAUACCCCUGUAGUCCACGCCCUAAACGGUGCACACUAGGUCUUGGCGGAUUCGACCCCGUCAGGGCCCAAGCUAACGCGUUAAGUGUGCCGCCUGAGGACUACGGUCGCAAGACUAAA